UGAACGCUGGCGGCGUGCUUAACACAUGCAAGUCGUACGUGAACGCUUCUGCUUGCAGAAGUUAUUAAAGUGGCGCACGGGUGAGUAACGCGUGGGUAAUCUACCUCCGAAUUGGGGAUAACUCGCCGAAAGGCGGGCUAAUACCGGAGAUCAAUUCCGAAAACCAAGGUUUAUGGAAUUAAAGGCUGCACUCUUUAACGGGGCAGUUGUUUGGAGAUGAGCCCGCGUCCCAUUAGCUUGUUGGUGGGGUAAUGGCCUACCAAGGCUACGAUGGGUAGCUGGUCUGAGAGGAUGAUCAGCCACACUGGAACUGACACACGGUCCAGACUCCUACGGGAGGCAGCAGUGAGGAAUUUUGCGCAAUGGGGGAAACCCUGACGCAGCAACGCCGCGUGAGUGAUGAAGGCUUUCGGGUCGUAAAGCUCUGUCAAGUGGGAAGAACCGGUGAUAGGUUAAUAGCCUAUCACCCUGACGGUACCACUGAAGGAAGCACCGGCUAACUCC
This 504-nucleotide ribosomal RNA is filed under the name uncultured bacterium. Its description in RNAcentral is "bacterial SSU rRNA". It matches the Rfam family "Bacterial small subunit ribosomal RNA", at positions 30 to 504 of the family's 1533-position model. The record is from RNAcentral.